Molecule: small nuclear RNA, 199 nt
Organism: Gastrolobium bilobum
Lineage: Eukaryota; Viridiplantae; Streptophyta; Magnoliopsida; Fabales; Fabaceae
Product: U2 spliceosomal RNA
Exons: 1
Source: RefSeq, a predicted model, not a curated record
AUACCUUUCUCGGCCUUUUGGCUAAGAUCAAGUGUAGUAUCUGUUCUUAUCAGUUUAAUAUCUGAUACGUGGACCAUUGGUUCACAUGAUAUUAAAUUUGUUUUUUAAAGGGAAGAGUCCAUCACCAUAGCUUGCUACUGGUUCUCUCAAGUGUCGCCCAUGCUUUUUUGCACUACUGCACGGGCUUGGCGCACCCCAC